This 239-nucleotide ribosomal RNA is filed under the name uncultured Pseudomonas sp. RNAcentral's name for it is "partial 16S ribosomal RNA". It matches the Rfam family "Bacterial small subunit ribosomal RNA", at positions 1144 to 1382 of the family's 1533-position model. Lineage: Bacteria; Pseudomonadati; Pseudomonadota; Gammaproteobacteria; Pseudomonadales; Pseudomonadaceae. The record is from RNAcentral.
AAGGACUGCCGGUGACAAACCGGAGGAAGGUGGGGAUGACGUCAAGUCAUCAUGGCCCUUACGGCCUGGGCUACACACGUGCUACAAUGGUCGGUACAAAGGGUUGCCAAGCCGCGAGGUGGAGCUAAUCCCAUAAAACCGAUCGUAGUCCGGAUCGCAGUCUGCAACUCGACUGCGUGAAGUCGGAAUCGCUAGUAAUCGUGAAUCAGAAUGUCACGGUGAAUACGUUCCCGGGCCUU